CUCCUACGGGAGGCAGCAGUGGGGAAUAUUGCGCAAUGGGCGAAAGCCUGACGCAGCGACGCCGCGUGAGGGAUGAAUGCCUUCGGGUUGCAAACCUCUUUCAGCAGGGACGAAGCGCAAGUGACGGUACCUGCAGAGAAGCGCCGGCUAACUACGUGCCAGCAGCCGCGGUAAUAC
This 177-nucleotide ribosomal RNA is filed under the name uncultured bacterium. Its description in RNAcentral is "partial 16S ribosomal RNA". It matches the Rfam family "Bacterial small subunit ribosomal RNA", at positions 336 to 526 of the family's 1533-position model. The record is from RNAcentral.